GGAGUGAAACCCCGAGGGCUAUCAGAAAGAAUGGGAACUGGCAAUUUCAAGAGGUUGAAGUUUCAGGGUACCCUCCAGAAUGUACCAGAGAUCUGGGAGGUAAAAGACUCAGUACUCAAAAGGAAGGACCUUAGAUAAAAUGCCCUACAGUAGUGAGGGGGAGCUUGUAGAGCCCAUGUCCAGCACAAAGACAAGGCAUCAAGUGAGGGAUGGGGUUGCCAUCCCACAGUCAAAACUCUUACCCUUAAUUAUUCCAGUCUAAAAGAACUGCAGGGAUGUUAAUGAAGAAAACCUGAGGUAAAAAGGUCCAGUAAUGGGCUGAAGUUGGAUCCAGCUCAAGGGGAGGCCCGAAGGCCUGACACUAUUACUGAUGCUGUGGUGUGCUUACAAACAGGAGUCUUGCAUGACUGCCCUCUGAAAGUCCCAAAAAGCAGCUGAAAGAAUCAGAUGCAGGUAUUUAUACCAAACCAAUGGAGAGAAGCUUCUAAUUCCUGUCAUUUAAUUAGGAAAAAGCUGGAAGAAUCUGAGGAGGACUACCCUGUAGAAGGUCCAGUUGUCUCAAUUAACCUGAACCCCUGAGAUCUCUCAGACACAGGAACACCAACCAGGCAGCAUAUACCAGUUGACAUGAGGCCCCCAACACGUAUACAGCAGAGGACCAGUGGGUCUGGAUUCACUUAGAAAAGACGCACCUAACUCUCAAGAGACUGGAGGCCUCAGAAGGAGUUUAAUUAGAGGUACCAUGCAUGGAUAGACAAUUCUGCUUCCAGAAGACACAAGUUGCUACAUGAAAAUUGCAGUAGAAGGAGGAUCUAUGUAAGGAACUGGGAGAGAAAAGACAUCAUGGUCUUACCCAGUGCUGGAGCCUGCAUACUGUAAUAUUGACCUGCUUGGCAAGAUAAAAAGACUCUAUUGGUUGACAGAAGAAAGAAUCAAAAGAUGGCCCAUUGGAAAUGCACUGUAUGCGACGUCCUGUUAUUACAUGUUCAGCAUGAAUUUAAGGCAUUUGACUUUCUUCCUUUGUUCAGAAUAACAGCACAAAGGAUUUAUAAUUAUUUUUCCUGAGCACACUUUAUACCUGGUGAGGAUUUGUGUGGAAAUUCUGAGCACUUUCUCUCAAUGAUCUUUGAACAUGCUAACAAAAACAUUAGUGAAAGAAACAAAGCCUAUACAGUCAUAAGAAUUUAUGAGUAAUUUUCUUUAUCCUUGCUCUUCCUCUUUGACAGAACCCCUCUCCCGCCACUGUAAAUAUGCUUCAUUUUUUGACAUUGCUCAAAGCAAUAGCAAACAACUCAACAUAAAAUGGUCCAACACUGUUAUCACAUGCAUUAAUUGGAAUGCUCAUCUUAUCCUCUAAGACCAUCAACUUGGCCUUCCCUGUAUCAUAGUACAAGCUGAGGACAGAAUAAGUGUGGAAUAUAGUUCAUUCUCCUAACACACUGUUACUCAUUGGAAGUGACAUUGUCACCUCAAAGCAGCCCCCCCCCCUGAAGUACCAACAAUGCCAUGGAAUUUGAGGAAUAGGCUUAGGAGCUGACUUAAAUUGCUCUGUAUAGCAGCACUGUAGCAUUUUCCCGUUCCUUUUUCCCCAAGGAAAAAAAUUAUCAAAAGUAUCUUUCUACUUAAUUAUCAGAUACACAUUGUUCUUUUCUUCUCUGUCCUCGAUCCCAAUUUCACCUCCACCUCCUUCCAUCUCUCCUUCCUCCAUACUGAGUUUGCCAAGGCAAUAUUAGUCUCCAGAUAUCUUGAACAUUAAAUCUGCCUAAAUCCAAACGAAUACUUCUCAGACAUGGCCCCAGCUUAAUCAGUUGUAUAGCCUGCACUUGCCCUGCAACCAUGCAUGUAAUACCUCUUGCUUUGGGUCUUUUAGUUUGAAUCUCAUUUUCCUUCCAGAGUUCUUGAUCAAAGAACAUUUUUGUGUGUUUCUUCGUUACAAGAAUACUUUCUCAAUCCAUCCUUACCAUCAGUUUUGAAACAAUAACGUUCACUGUCCUCUGCAAUACCCUUUUUUGUUUUGAACCUUGAGGUCUUUAUCACCAGUUUGUAUUUCUCAAAAUCUGUAUUAAUAAGUCUUUCUUUCUUUGAGCAGUAUACUUCUUUGUAGAAGUAGGGAACCUGGGACCUAGGAGGGAAAACUGGUGACCUGCAGUGCAAAUCACCAUGGCUUUUGGACUCCUGUGAGUAAUGUCUUCUCAGCUAAUCUAUUUUCUUGAUUUCCAAUAGUGGCUACUAUCUUUGGUAUGUACUAAUCUUCAGAUUUAUCUUGCUUUAUCUAUCUCUCAAUCUAUCUAUCUAUCUAUCUAUCUAUCUAUCUAUCUAUCUAUCUAUCAUUAUCUCUGACUUUUCUGUUUCUGUCUUUCCUUAUUUGUUUUUAUUUUACUAAAUAUAAAAGCAGAGAUCAAGACAGGCACAUUUAAUUUUUCAUUCAACCUUUUAUCUUGUGUCCUCCAGAAUUUCCUUUCCUCAUAAACUAAAUCUUGUUUUCCAAAUGUACUGGAAGACAUUUCCAUUCAAAAAUUUCAAUACCAGAGCCACUAAAUAGAAGGAAAUGCUUGCUUGGCUGGAUAAUAAUUGUGGACCAUCUUGGUCUAAACUUUCAAUCCAUUUUGAUAUAGAAGAGUAUAGCAUCAUAGAUGUGAAGUUUCUAGGUAGUGAUGCCUCAAGGUCAAGGUACGGAGACUGUGUUCCAAAAAUGAUGAGGUCAUAAGUCUAUUGUCUAACAAAUUGGCUAGUGACUAGAUUCACACAAUUGUCUCUGGUUAUGCAGGUAUGGAGACAUCAUUAUCAACAGCUGUGGCUUGUCACUGUUGGCAGGGAUUGAUUUUUGAAAAUAUGACAGAAGAGAAUGCUGGUUCAAGUGUAACUCAGUGGUUGAAAGUUACCCGAAUAUGGGGGUGUGUGCUAGUAUCAUAGGAUGAUAGGGAAGAUCAGAAUCAUCAAUGGGGUGUAGACAGCUGUAGCCUAGAAGAACAGCUGUAUAUGUGCUACAGAUGUAGAGCUAGAGAAGCUACCAAGAUUCAUUGAAAGAUGCCAGAAUAUCGUACGUGGAUCACAGAUAUUAAGAUAUUGAAGUAUUAACACCAUUGAAGUUUGAUUUUGCUUUGAUCAUAUUGAUACUUGAUUCUUCUCUUUUGAAAUAAAAAAGUAGUUUGAAACAUUUUUUUUAAUUUUAAAUGACCACAUUUUCCAAAUAAGAUUUUGGAGUUUUACAGAUAAUUAGGAUUAUAAAAAAAAAACAAAACAAUGGAUUCUUUAAGGUACUGAAUUUGUAAAGUGUAUGAAAUGGCAAGGCUGUGGGACUCUGGAAGUGCUAGCACAGAUAUGUUUGAUAUUCAACAUUUGGUAAAGUACUUGCCUAAAGUUAAAGUAUUUGAGCUCAAACUUCAUCAGAAAUGCAUAUUAGAUUGUACACACAAGGAACAACAGCACCCUGGAUGUAGAGACAGAAAAAAUAUGAUUACACUAUCUGAGGAACCAGCUAUAACCUCUCCUGGGCAUAUACCCAAAAGAUGCUCCAACAUACAACAAAUUCACAUGCUCCACUAUGUUCAUAACAACAUAUUAUUUAUAAUAGCCAGAACCUGGGAAGAACCCAGAUGCCUCAACAGAGGAAUGGAUACAGAAAAUGUGGUACAUCUACACAAUGGAAUAUUACUCAUCUAUCAAAAACAAUGACUUCAUGAAAUCCAUAGACAAAUGGAUGGAACUAGAAAAUAUCAUCCUGAUCGAGGUAACCCAAUCACAGAAAAACGCACAUGGUAUACAUUCAUUGAUUAGUGAAUUUUAGCCCAAAAGCUGGAAUUACCCAUGAUGCAAUUUAUAAACCACACGAAGCUCAAGAAGAAGGAUGUCCAAAAUGCAGAUGCUUCAGUCCUUCUCAAAAGGGGGAAUAAAAAGUUCCAUAGGAGGGGAUAUGGAGGCAAAGGUUAGAGCAGAGACUGAAGGAAUGACCAGUCCAAGCCUGCCCAACAUGUGGCCCAUAUAUAUACAGCCACCAAUACUAAAUAAGAUUGAUGAAGCUAAGAAGUGCAUGCUGACAGGAACUGGAUAUAGAUCUCUCCUGAGAGACACAACCAGAGCUCGCCAAAUACAGAGGCAAAUGCUAGCAGCAAACCACUGAACUGAGAACAGGACUCCCCUUGGAGGAAUUAGAGAAAGUAUUGAAAAAAAUCACCCUAAGCAUUUCUGAUUCGAUUCCAGGGGAUAGGUAAUAUAUGCUCUCUCCUACUGUAUGAUGGAGUAUGUAAUUUGCUUUGGAUUUUUUAGUGGUUACUUUGAAUGAAUUGACUUGACGUUCAGAAGACACUUUCAACAUUUAAACAAUAUUCGUUAUAUGAAAGAUAAGAGGGCACAUUAAAAUUGUAUAGUAUAUGAUAGUACUCUGAAUUGAUUGUGAGACUAUGAGAGACAAGAUGUAGAAUACAGUGGUUUGAAUGAGAUCCCCAAUAGUACACCCCGAUUUUCAAAUACCUGUCUCCGAGUUGAUAGCUGUUUGGGAAAGAUUAGGAAAUGCAGCAUUGCUGUAGAAAAAAACAUCUACCUUUCAAAUAUCUCGGGAUGUUUCAAAUAACCCUUUCUUUUCCCUAUUUGCAGUUUGAGAGAUAAGCUGCUACUCCAGCAACCUGCUGCCUGCUCUCAAGAUACAGAAAGAUGAGAAAUAAUAUUUUCCUACUACAAUAUUAUUUUAUUAAUAUAUUUUGUUGUUGUUACUAAAGGAUGCCAAAACAUAAUCCUGGCUGUAGUUAGAAACAAUACUGACUCUUUGCCUAUGCCUCUCAGGUGUUACAUUUAAAGGCAUGUGCCAAAUAGAUUGGACUUUCUCCACAAAAUUUAUUUUUGAAAGUAAUUAAUGAUCAAAGCCAAAUGGACAUUUAAAAAUGAAAUUAAAAACAUUCCUGGUAAAUUGAAUCACAUCUUUAAUCAUAUCAUCCUAGAGAUAGAAGCAAAAGGAUUACUAAAGUUUGAAGACAAGGCAGACUACAGCAUGAGACACUAACUCACAAAUUUCAAAUAUAAUAAAAAGUAUAUGAACAAAUGAAGAAAUUAUGUAAUGUGGAAGAAAAGUAGCAGUAGAGGACUGUAAUAAGCAGAAGCAAUGAAAAGUUCAAGAAACAUGAGUGAAAUGAUCAUCAUAUGUAAACUAGAAUUCUAUGCUAUGGAAAGGAGAGAUUGUAGAAAAAUUGAGCAUAUCCAAAUUAAACUUUUGUCAAGAAAAAUUGCAAAAACAUUAAGCACACAAUUCUUUAUAUUCCUACAUAGUGCACCCUGUAUCUUUUGGGUUAAUUUUAAGAUCUAUUAACUCCAUACUUCUACAACUCUUCUAACUGCCUAUGUUAAAUAUUCAUUGAAUUAGGCCUGUAUAAGUCCUCUUCAUUACACAGGUAUUGUAAGCAGCACACAUUACUUUUCAUAAGUUGUCGAAGUAACAUUAGCAAUGCUAGAAUUAGAAUCAAAUCACAGAUUAUGAAGGCUUGGUUUUCAUCUGUAGAACAUCAUAGCAUAGAUUACUGCACACAUCUCAUACAAGCUUUUAGUCUGUCAUCUUUGAGCACAAUUAAUUUAAUUAGUUAAUUGAGGUAGGAGAACCUCUCCUCCUGGGUAGGACCAGGUUGAGGAUCCUUAACACUGGCCUCUUCACUAAAAAAAUUGGCUUUCUGUGUCCCAGAAAGAACUCUGCAACCCAAAUCAAAGAAAUUAUAAUUUUACAUAUCCACAAUUACUCAUUACUUGUAUGAUUAGAAAACAAUUUAUUUAAAAGCAUAUGGAUUUUUUUAGGGUAUUUCCAGUGUCCUAAUCUUACUUUGCUCUGCAGUAUAUAGAUAGAUACAAUAAAUCAUAUAUCUGUUUUCUUGUUUAGGUAACCAUACAUAAUCCUUGACUUUUAUAAAAUCUGGAAGAUGAGAGAAAUAUAAUAUAACACCUGAAACCUUAACCUGCUUGGUGGCAGAUAGAGAUGGCAAGAAGUAUGUUAAGCCAACCCAUUCUAUACAGCAACUUCUUGGCAUGAAAGAGCUACUUAUACAACCAUAGGCAUUAAAAUAAUAAAUCAGUUUUUCUUAGUUAUUACUUAGAGCCAGGCAUGCUAUGACAUGUUGACAAAUACAAUGAAACAAGACUGUCGUUUCAUUGCAUUUUUUCUAAUAAAUAUCAAUAUUUGAAAGGGAUCUUUAAAUUUCAAAAUGGCAAGCAUAUUUUCAGCAAGCUUUAAAUUUCUCCAGCAUUGGCAGAAGACUCUGAGGGACUGAUUGGUCGUAGCACAGCCUUUUUCAGGGUGGUCAUCUCCUUCUUGCAGUAUUGCCUGAAUUGAUAUAUUACCAUACUUAUCUGCUCAGUCCUAUAUUCAUUGUUUGGCUGUGGGUGUCUAUUUCUCUCUGAAACAGCUACAGGGUAGAGAUACUCAGAAGAAAACGUGCUCCUCUAUGCAAAUAUUACAGAGUACCAUUGAUAUUGUUAGGGAUUAGUACUUCCAUCAUCAGAUGGGGCUCAAUUUGGUCUAGUUAUUGGUUGGCCCUUCCCUCUGCUCCAUUCCUGUGCCUACAUUUCUUGUACACAGGAUAAAUUUUGGAAUGAACUUUUAGAGCAUUAUUUGGUGACUCUAUUACUCCUCUGUGGUUACUGCCUGGCUACAGGAGGUGGCCUCUUCAGGUUCCAUAUCCCCAAUGUUGAGAGUCAUAACUAAGGUAAACUCCAUUGAUUCUUUGGAUACUACCUUAUCCCAAGGCUCUGCUCAUCCUGUAUAUAACCCACCCCCAGUUUGCCAACACAUCUCUUGCAUAUUUUCAUUAAUUUUCAUGGCCAUGUAGCCAUCUCUCCUGUUCCUCUCUCCUUCUAAGUGAGAUUCAAGCUACCUUGCUUGGGCCUUCUUUCAUUUUUACUAUCUUGGGUCUAUGGAGGGUAGUAUGGAUAGCCUCAAUUUUAGGUCUAAUAUCUCCUUAUAAGUCCUUAUAAGGACAUAUCCUGCAUGUCCUUUUGAGACUAGGUUACAUCACUCGUGAUGAUAUUCUCAAGUUGCAUCUAUUUGCGUGCAAAAUUCAUAAUGUUUCUGCUUAAGAAUUGCCAGGGUGGGGAGUUACCCAGAGCAUCCCCCACUCAUUCAGGGGACAAAGAGAAGGAGUUCGAGGAAGGGUUGUGGGAGGAAGUGACCAGGAGGGGAGCAUUGAGCCAGAUGCAACGUAAAUAUUUUUAAAAAACAAAUUAAGUAAUGGAAUCCGAUGCCCUCUUCUGGUGUGUCUGAAGACAGUUACAGUGUACUCGUAUACAUAAAAUAAAUAACUCUUAAAAAACAAAUUAAAAUGUAUUAGAAGGUUUUAUUGUGUAACACAAUUGAUUUAUUUGUGUCACUUUCAUAUGUAAUGUAUCUUAUCUUAUUCAUCCCAUUAUUCUGUUUUAUGACCUACAUACACUUCUGUUCCCUUUUUUCUAUCAACAUAGUCCUUUUCCCUUUUCUCAUUCCUCCUUCCUCAUUCUAUCCCCUUUUCCUUAUUUAUUCAUUUCUCCUAACUUCUUCCCCCUCCUUUCCUUUCAUUUAUUAUUUUCUUCAUCCACCAUCCUCUCAUUUGUUCUUUUACUUCAUUAUUUUAAUAACUUGCAACUGGUUUUCUAGAGUAUUUUCUUAUGCAGUGAUCAGUGGUAACUGCAUAGGCUUAUAACCAGUCAAAGUGCUGAGCACAGGGACUGUUGAAAUCUCAUAUGAACAUGAGGAUACUGUAUCACUCCUCUAAGACUAUCAUGAAGGAAAUAAUAAUUGGUAAAUGAUAAAAAAGUAAAGUGUGAUAAGUUUGAACAUCUUUCUAACAUAAUAUCACCAUUAUACCAUUUAUCUCACAGAAGGUGUCAUUACUGGCAAAAACCUGUGCAGGUUUAGACCUGUUAGCCUCUUGUCUAGGGGAGCCAAGAAGGGCUCAUAGUAGAACCUAGAUACAUUUAUGGCAGCUAGGGGAAGAGGUUCAAUAAGCCUCUAGGCAAUUAAUGUCAAGUAGAGAAACAAAAUUAGCCAUCACUCAAGUCUUACUCUGCAGCCUGCUCUUGCUCUUAUGUAGCCUGACUAACACUGAAUUUAUGAUCCUUCUGCUUUAUCCUAUUGAGUUUUAAAAUUAUCGAAGUGUUAGAUCAUAUCUAAUUGUAUUUUAGUUUUACCAAUUAAAAGUACUGUCAAAUACCAAAAAACUGUCUGAAUAAUAAUAUGUAAUAUGUGAAGAAAUGUUCAACACACAGACACAGACACACACACAAACAUGCAUGUGUGCAUAGCUACAACAAAAAUGUUCUCUUUGAUCUUAUUCCUAUUGUAGUAUAAGACUAGCAGAUGUAAAAAGAAAGUAACAUGCAACUUAUUAAAUGAUACAUUAAAAAGCAGUAGCUGUGACUUAAACAUGAAAUUGAUCUUUAAACAAAGAAUAAUUUAUCUCAGAAUACAAUAUUAACCCUACAUAUAUCAUCUUAGUGAUUGAUAAGAUUUCAAACAUUCUAACAGUAAUUUUCAUCUUGCUUAUUUCUAUAUUUAUUACUCAUACAUUAGUUUAUGUAGUGCAUUUGGUGUAGUACUACUCAUAUUCUGUUAAUUUUGGUCCCCAAAAUUGUUUUCAAAAGAAUCCCAUGUCUGAACUUGACAGAGGAACCCUGGUCCCAGUUGGUUCUGAUUAAUAAAUAAAUUUACAAAGAGCCAAUGAAUGGGAAAGGCAAACAGAGUCCUGACUUUUAGGAUGAAGGAGAUACAGGGACAGAGAGAAAGGAGGAGAAAGAAGGAGAUGCCCCAUGCUAGGAGAAAGAAAUUCUACAUGUCAAAGAUUGUACAGGACCAGAGAUCAUAGCCUUCAUGUUGGAGCCAGGAAAGCCACCUCAAAAGGGCUGCUGACUGGGUCCAAAGCAGCAAAGAUUUUAGUAAGUAAUAAUUUGAGAAUAUCAGAAGAAUGUGAAUUAGCCACAUGGAGGUUAGAAAGGGGCCAAGCCACUGAGCUGUUCUAGGCAUAUCAAUAUAUAAAGCUGUGUGUGUGUGUGUGUGUGUGUGUGUGUGUGUGUGUGUGUGUGUGUGUGUGAACCCAGAAUAUUGGGGUGGGUAGCAAGAAAUGUGCAGUUGCCACAAGUAUUUUUUAUUAGGUACUACGCCAAUUUAUAUGUUGUGAAUUCAUCUCAGAUUCUUAGGGACUGGCAUCACAACCAUCUUCUCUUAUAGUGUAUUAAAAACAUCAAUUUCUCUCUCUUUUUAAAAGCAUUUUGUUUUUUAUCUUUAAAUAUUAGAUUUGACAAGGUUUCAUUAUUGAAAUUCUUUGACAUGUUUCAUUAUUUUUUUCCUGGUUAACCCUCCAUAGGCCACCUAUCCCAUCCCCACUCCUCCCUGAUUCUAUGAGCAUGCUCUACCACCUACCUUCCCACUCUUGUCUCAUUACCCUAGCAUUCCCCUAUGCUAAGGCAUUAAGCCUUCACCUAACUAAGGACCUCCCCUCCCAUUAAUGCUAUAUAAGGCCAUCCUCUGCUACAUUUGCAGCUGGAGCCCUGGGUCCCUCCAUGUGUACUGUUUGGCUGGUAGUUUAGUCCUUGAGAGAUCUAGGAGGCCUAGUUGGCUGAUAGAGUGGUACUUUCUAUGGGGUUGUAAACCCUUUCAGCUCCUUCAAUCCCUCCUCGAAAUACUUCUUUGGUGUCCUCAUGCUCAUUCCAACAGUUUGGCAAAAGCAUCCACAUCUGUAUUUGGUCAACCUCUGUCAGAGCCUCUCUAAAGACAGCUAUAUCAGGCUCAAGUACAUUUACUAUACUUGGGAUUUUUAAUGGUUUUUCAUCAGCAAGCACCUCUUGGCAUCAGCGAUAGUCUGGGCUUGGUAGUUGCAUAUAGCAUGGAUCCCCAGAUAAAUGGCAUUUGUUUGAAAUUUAACUGGUUUACAGUUUACAAAUAAUCACAAAAUAUUUUUUAAAUUGUCCAUAGAAGUUUUAUCUGAGUACUUCGUGGCUUAUUGGUAAUAUAUUUAUGUCCAAAAAAUAAGUAAAAGAAUAGUGGAUGGAAAAUUGUUAAUUACUAGGGAGUCUUUGGCUGUUGAAAAUGGGGAAGGAUAAGAAACACACUCAGGGGAAAGCCUUGUACAGCAUCAACAG
This is a non-coding RNA of Rattus norvegicus (Norway rat), 10083 nucleotides long. The record is from RefSeq and is a predicted model, not a curated record. NCBI's taxonomy places the organism in Eukaryota, Metazoa, Chordata, Mammalia, Rodentia, Muridae.